RNAcentral lists this ribosomal RNA (531 nucleotides) under Klebsiella pneumoniae. Its description in RNAcentral is "bacterial SSU rRNA". It matches the Rfam family "Bacterial small subunit ribosomal RNA", at positions 1011 to 1533 of the family's 1533-position model. Lineage: Bacteria; Pseudomonadati; Pseudomonadota; Gammaproteobacteria; Enterobacterales; Enterobacteriaceae. The record is from RNAcentral.
UUGGUGCCUUCGGGAACUGUGAGACAGGUGCUGCAUGGCUGUCGUCAGCUCGUGUUGUGAAAUGUUGGGUUAAGUCCCGCAACGAGCGCAACCCUUAUCCUUUGUUGCCAGCGGUCCGGCCGGGAACUCAAAGGAGACUGCCAGUGAUAAACUGGAGGAAGGUGGGGAUGACGUCAAGUCAUCAUGGCCCUUACGACCAGGGCUACACACGUGCUACAAUGGCAUAUACAAAGAGAAGCGACCUCGCGAGAGCAAGCGGACCUCAUAAAGUAUGUCGUAGUCCGGAUUGGAGUCUGCAACUCGACUCCAUGAAGUCGGAAUCGCUAGUAAUCGUAGAUCAGAAUGCUACGGUGAAUACGUUCCCGGGCCUUGUACACACCGCCCGUCACACCAUGGGAGUGGGUUGCAAAAGAAGUAGGUAGCUUAACCUUCGGGAGGGCGCUUACCACUUUGUGAUUCAUGACUGGGGUGAAGUCGUAACAGGUAACCGUAGGGGAACCUGCGGUUGGAUCACCUCCUUACCUUAAAGAA